UACGAAGGGGGCUAGCGUUGCUCGGAAUCACUAGGCGUAAAGCGCAGGUAGGAGGUUUAGUAAGUCUGUUGUGAAAGCUCCCGGCUUAACUGGGAGAGGUCAACGGAAACUGCUAGGCUAGAGUGCGGUAGAGGUAGCUGGAAUUCCCGGUGUAGCGGUGAAAUGCGUAGAUAUCGGGAGGAAUACCUAUGGCGAAAGCAGGCUACUGGACCGUCACUGACUCUGAUCUGCGAAAGCUAGGGGAGCAAACAGG
This 253-nucleotide ribosomal RNA is filed under the name uncultured bacterium. RNAcentral describes it as "partial 16S ribosomal RNA". It matches the Rfam family "Bacterial small subunit ribosomal RNA", at positions 524 to 776 of the family's 1533-position model. The record is from RNAcentral.